This 294-nucleotide non-coding RNA is filed under the name Eucalyptus grandis. Its description in RNAcentral is "Bacterial large subunit ribosomal RNA". It matches the Rfam family "Bacterial large subunit ribosomal RNA", at positions 2231 to 2541 of the family's 2925-position model. Lineage: Eukaryota; Viridiplantae; Streptophyta; Magnoliopsida; Myrtales; Myrtaceae. The record is from Rfam by way of RNAcentral.
AAAUAAAUUUUGUUUCAAAUAAAAAUCUGAAGUGGCCGGAUGCCUCUUAAAGAGUAACAAAAGUGUGUGAAGGGAGGCUCAAGCUAAGAUUUUGCUCGUGAGCACAAUGGUAUAAGCCUGCCUAAUUAUGAGACUAAUUGGUUGAAUAGAGACGAAAGUUGACCAUAGUGAUAUGGGAGUCCCAUGUGGAAGGGCUCUCACUUAACAGAUCAAAGGUAUGUUGAUGAUAACAGACUGAUGACUCCCAAGAGCUCUUAUUGAUGGAGUUGUUUGGCACCUUGAUGUUGACCGAUC